Molecule: ribosomal RNA, 396 nt
Filed under: uncultured bacterium
Lineage: Bacteria
Description: partial 16S ribosomal RNA
Rfam family: Bacterial small subunit ribosomal RNA
Source: RNAcentral
CCUACGGGAGGCAGCAGUGAGGAAUAUUGGUCAAUGGACGGAAGUCUGAACCAGCCAAGCCGCGUGAGGGAAGAAGGUACUGCGAAUUGUAAACUGCUUUUGUACGGGAGUAAAGGCGCGGACGUGUCUUCGGAUGAGGGUACCGGAAGAAAAAGCAUCGGCUAACUCCGUGCCAGCAGCCGCGGUAAUCCGGAGGAUGCGAGCGUUAUCCGGAUUUAUUGGGGUUAAAGGGUGCGGAGGCGGAGUGUUAAGUUAGCGGUGAAAUGCCCGGGCUCAACCCGGGACGGGCCGUGGAAACUGGCGAGCUGGAGGUGGGGAGCGGUAGGCGGAAUGCGCGGUGUAGCGGUGAAAUGCUUAGAUAUCGGGCAGAACCCCGAUUGCGAAGGCAGCGUACCG